CCUACGGGCGGCAGCAGUGAGGAAUAUUGGUCAAUGGACGAGAGUCUGAACCAGCCAAGUAGCGUGAAGGAUGACUGCCCUAUGGGUUGUAAACUUCUUUUAUAUGGGAAUAAAAUGUUCCACGUGUGGGAUUUUGUAUGUACCAUAUGAAUAAGGAUCGGCUAACUCCGUGCCAGCAGCCGCGGUAAUACGGAGGAUCCGAGCGUUAUCCGGAUUUAUUGGGUUUAAAGGGAGCGUAGGUGGAUUGUUAAGUCAGUUGUGAAAGUUUGCGGCUCAACCGUAAAAUUGCAGUUGAAACUGGCAGUCUUGAGUACAGUAGAGGUGGGCGGAAUUCGUGGUGUAGCGGUGAAAUGCUUAGAUAUCACGAAGAACUCCGAUUGCGAAGGCAGCUCACUGCAGCGGAACUGACGCUGAUGCUCGAAAGCGCGGGUAUCGAACAGGAUUAGAUACCCGAGUAGUC
This 460-nucleotide ribosomal RNA is filed under the name uncultured bacterium. Its description in RNAcentral is "partial 16S ribosomal RNA". It matches the Rfam family "Bacterial small subunit ribosomal RNA", at positions 338 to 795 of the family's 1533-position model. The record is from RNAcentral.